RNAcentral lists this ribosomal RNA (866 nucleotides) under uncultured archaeon. Its description in RNAcentral is "bacterial SSU rRNA". It matches the Rfam family "Archaeal small subunit ribosomal RNA", at positions 1 to 878 of the family's 1478-position model. The record is from RNAcentral.
CUCCGGUUGAUCCUGCCGGACCCGACUGCUAUCAGAGUGAGAUUAAGCCAUGCGAGUUAACGUAGCAAUACGUGGCGCACGGCUCAGUAACACGUAGUCAACAUGCCCAGAGGACGUGGAUAACCUCGGGAAACUGAGUCUAAACCGCGAUAAGUGAGGAUUUCUGGAAUGGUUCCUGACUAAAAUCUAUAUGGCCUCUGGAUUGGACUGCGGCCGAUCAGGCUGUUGGUGAGGUAAUGGCCCACCAAACCUGUAACCGGUACGGGCUCUGAGAGGAGGAGCCCGGAGAUGGGCACUGAGACAAGGGCCCAGGCCCUAUGGGGCGCAGCAGGCGCGAAACCUCUGCAAUAGGCGAAAGCCUGACAGGGUUACUCUGAGUGACUUUCGCUAAGAAAGUCUUUUGGCACCUCUAAAAAGGGUGCAGAAUAAGGGGUGGGCAAGUCUGGUGUCCGCCGCCGCGGUAAUACCAGCACCCCGAGUGGUCGGGACGAUUAUUGGGCCUAAAGCAUCCGUAGCCGGUCCUGCAAGUCUUCCGUUAAAUCCAGCUGCUCAACAGAUGGGCUGCGGGAGAUACUACAGGGCUAGGAGGCGGGAGAGGCAAGCGGUACUUUAUGGGUAGGGGUAAAAUCCGCUGAUCCAUAGAAGACCACCAGUGGCGAAGGCGGCUUGCCAGAACGCGCUCGACGGUGAGGGAUGAAAGCUGGGGGAGCAAACCGGAUUAGAUACCCGGGUAGUCCCAGCUGUAAACGAUGCAGACUCGGUGAUGGGUUGGCCUCGCGCCUGCCCAGUGCCGCAGGGAAGCCGUUAAGUCUGCCGCCUGGGGAGUACGGUCGCAAGACUGAAACUUAAAGGAUUGGCGGGGAGCA